Long non-coding RNA from Gallus gallus (chicken), 392 nucleotides. The record is from Ensembl. Lineage: Eukaryota; Metazoa; Chordata; Aves; Galliformes; Phasianidae.
CCCCAGCCAAUUCUGGUGAUCUACAUCCUCAUUUCCCCCCAGUGCCUUAGGAGCCAUCUCUGACUGACUGUCUCCUCCUCCCUUCAGCUCCCCAACCUCUUUUCUCCCUCAUCCAGUCAUGCCCUGCACUGAGACAGGGGAUGAGGAGCAGAAAGCAUCGUCAUCCUGGCAAGGAGCAGGGAAUGGGGGCAUUCCUGCAGCAGUGACAGUGGGAACUCGGUCAUAAAGCAAAAGACAGAGGGAGGAGAGCCUCCAACACUGGGAAGUUUUCAUGGCAAUCAAGGCACGGAUCUGAUCUCUGGGCCCUCAUCAGCGUGAAUGGAGCUGACACAGCGGCUGAGCCCAGCGCUGCUGCAGCGCAGACCUGACGGCUGUUCCUGGAGAGAGCACAG